RNAcentral lists this small RNA (134 nucleotides) under Oceanobacter sp. RNAcentral's name for it is "Manganese sequence". It matches the Rfam family "Manganese Mn2+ riboswitch aptamer (yybP-ykoY)". Rfam says of the family: This RNA was originally discovered in E. coli during a large scale screen and was named SraF. The family was later found to exist upstream of related families of protein genes in many bacteria, including the the yybP and ykoK genes in B. subtilis. The record is from RNAcentral. Lineage: Bacteria; Pseudomonadati; Pseudomonadota; Gammaproteobacteria; Oceanospirillales; Oceanospirillaceae.
CCCAGCAUCUUAGGGGAGUAGCCUGCUUUUACUGCUGUGACCAAAUCCAGUGGAAGAGCGGUAACGUCAACAUACUUGAGCCCUCAAUGGCUUAUGGCGUUAUCAAACAAUCCGUCUCAUUGGCGCUAUUGUUU